GACGAACGCUGGCGGCGUGCUUAACACAUGCCAGUCGAACGGAAAGGCCUCUUUCGGGGGGUACUCGAGUGGCGAACGGGUGAGUAACACGUGAGUAACCUGCCCUUGACUUUGGGAUAACUUCAGGAGACUGGGGCUAAUACCGGAUAGGCGCUCCUGCUGCAUGGUGGGGGUUGGAAAGUUUCGGCGGUUGGGGAUGGACUCGCGGCUUAUCAGCUUGUUGGUGGGGUAGUGGCUUACCAAGGCUUUGACGGGUAGCCGGCCUGGGAGGGUGACCGGCCACAUUGGGACUGAGAUACGGCCCAGACUCCUACGGGAGGCAGCAGUGGGGAAUAUUGCACAAGGGGUGGAAGCCUGAUGCAGCAACGCCGUGUGCGGGAUGACGGCCUUCGGGUUGUAAACCGCUUUCGCUCAUGACGAAGCUUUGUGUGACGGUAGUGGGUAAAGAAGCACCGGCUAACUACGUG
Molecule: ribosomal RNA, 467 nt
Filed under: uncultured bacterium
Lineage: Bacteria
Description: partial 16S ribosomal RNA
Rfam family: Bacterial small subunit ribosomal RNA
Source: RNAcentral